GACGGGGGGUCCUAGCGUUGUUCGGAAUCAUUGGGCGUAAAGCGUGUGCAGGUGGUCAAGAAAGUUGGAUGUGAAAUCCCCGGGCUUAACCCGGGAAGUGCAUUCAAAACUCCUUGACUUGAGUAAGGAAGAGGGUCGUGGAAUUCCAGGUGUAGUGGUGAAAUACGUAGAUAUUCGCAAGAACACCAGUGGCGAAGGCGGCUCACUGGCCCGUAACUGACGCUGAGGCACGAAAGCGUGGGGAGCAAACAGG
This 253-nucleotide ribosomal RNA is filed under the name uncultured bacterium. RNAcentral's name for it is "partial 16S ribosomal RNA". It matches the Rfam family "Bacterial small subunit ribosomal RNA", at positions 524 to 776 of the family's 1533-position model. The record is from RNAcentral.